CCUACAGGCCCUGUGGUUUCCUCUAGAGCUUCUUUCACUUUCUUCUUCUGCUUUUCCCCUCUUCUCUCGUCCCCUGCGCCCACAUCCUCAGCCUCUCUCCCCCAUGUACACAGGUCCUCAGUAAAGACAGCCAAGCACAGAGCUCCUGGGGACCACACCUCUGCCUGGAGACUCUGCCUGUCUUCUCUGCCAAGCCCACAGCCCGCCAUUCCUUUCAGGCCGUCUCCUCCAAGAUCACACAGUGCCCUCCUUCCAGCCACACACCCUGGACCCCCUCCAUAAGCCCAUGGCUUGCCAGCUGUUCUUAGGGCUGUUCUUAAUAACAUUUACCACUAGGACUAACAUUUAUCAAACACUGUCUGCCAGGUAUCCUCCUGAACCAACACAGUCCAAUCAACCUUCCUGUGAUGAUGAAAACAUCUCCUCUGUCCAGGGCAGGAGGCAUUGAACUUUAUAACUCAG
Molecule: long non-coding RNA, 462 nt
Organism: Odocoileus virginianus texanus
Lineage: Eukaryota; Metazoa; Chordata; Mammalia; Artiodactyla; Cervidae
Source: RefSeq, a predicted model, not a curated record